RNAcentral lists this ribosomal RNA (475 nucleotides) under uncultured organism. RNAcentral describes it as "partial 16S ribosomal RNA". It matches the Rfam family "Bacterial small subunit ribosomal RNA", at positions 332 to 798 of the family's 1533-position model. The record is from RNAcentral.
UACACUCCUACGGGAGGCAGCAGUGGGGAAUUUUGGACAAUGGGCGAAAGCCUGAUCCAGCAAUGCCGCGUGAGUGAAGAAGGCCUUCGGGUUGUAAAGCUCUUUUGUCAGGGAAGAAACGGUGAAAGCUAAUAUCUUUUGCUAAUGACGGUACCUGAAGAAUAAGCACCGGCUAACUACGUGCCAGCAGCCGCGGUAAUACGUAGGGUGCAAGCGUUAAUCGGAAUUACUGGGCGUAAAGCGUGCGCAGGCGGUUUUGUAAGUCUGAUGUGAAAUCCCCGGGCUCAACCUGGGAAUUGCAUUGGAGACUGCAAGGCUAGAAUCUGGCAGAGGGGGGUAGAAUUCCACGUGUAGCAGUGAAAUGCGUAGAUAUGUGGAGGAACACCGAUGGCGAAGGCAGCCCCCUGGGUCAAGAUUGACGCUCAUGCACGAAAGCGUGGGGAGCAAACAGGAUUAGAAACCCGGGUAGUCCCAU